GCCGCAUUGAAGCCUGAACUCGAGUAGGGCCCAAGCCAGCCAGGAAGGAGGAGGCAGCCAGAGUGUUCUCUGCAGCAGAAGACCUCUUGCUGCCCUGCUUAACCCAGACCAGCAUUUGCCAGGUAUUUCCAGCCAAGAACAAAUCCUGUCACGUUCCAUCUAUCAACCUGCAAACUCAAUUGGGUGGUUUUUUUUUAUUUUCUAUGUACUUGGAGAAAAGAUCAAGAGGCAUAAUAAAAAAAGAGAGCAUUCUUUCCUUAUCUUC
Molecule: long non-coding RNA, 265 nt
Organism: Hemicordylus capensis (graceful crag lizard)
Lineage: Eukaryota; Metazoa; Chordata; Lepidosauria; Squamata; Cordylidae
Exons: 2
Source: RefSeq, a predicted model, not a curated record